RNAcentral lists this transfer RNA (76 nucleotides) under Massilia polaris. RNAcentral describes it as "tRNA-Gly". It matches the Rfam family "tRNA". Rfam says of the family: Transfer RNA (tRNA) molecules are approximately 80 nucleotides in length. Their secondary structure includes four short double-helical elements and three loops (D, anti-codon, and T loops). Further hydrogen bonds mediate the characteristic L-shaped molecular structure. tRNAs have two regions of fundamental functional importance: the anti-codon, which is responsible for specific mRNA codon recognition, and the 3' end, to which the tRNAs corresponding amino acid is attached (by aminoacyl-tRNA synthetases). tRNAs cope with the degeneracy of the genetic code in two manners: having more than one tRNA (with a specific anti-codon) for a particular amino acid; and 'wobble' base-pairing, i.e. permitting non-standard base-pairing at the 3rd anti-codon position. The record is from RNAcentral. Lineage: Bacteria; Pseudomonadati; Pseudomonadota; Betaproteobacteria; Burkholderiales; Oxalobacteraceae.
GCGGAAUUAGCUCAGCCGGUAGAGCGCCUGAUUUCCAAUCAGGCUGUCGACGGUUCGAUCCCGUCAUUCCGCUCCA